GAUGAACGCUAGCGACAGGCUUAACACAUGCAAGUCGAGGGGCAGCAGGGGAGUAGCAAUACUCCCGCUGGCGACCGGCGCACGGGUGAGUAACACGUAUGCAACCUGCCCUUGUCAGGGGGAUAAGCGGAAGAAAUUCCGUCUAAUACCGCAUAAUGCUGCGGGGAGACAUCUCCCUGCAGCCAAAGAUUUAUCGGACAAGGAUGGGCAUGCGGCGCAUUAGCUUGUUGGCGGGGUAACGGCCCACCAAGGCGACGAUGCGUAGGGGUUCUGAGAGGAAGGUCCCCCACACUGGUACUGAGACACGGACCAGACUCCUACGGGAGGCAGCGGUGAGGAAUAUUGGUCAAUGGCCGGGAGGCUGAACCAGCCAAGUCGCGUGAGGGAAGACGGUCCUAUGGAUUGUAAACCUCUUUUGUCAGGGAGCAAAAACUGCCACGUGUGGCAGGAUGAGAGUACCUGAAGAAAAAGCAUCGGCUAACUCCGUGCCAGCAGCCGCGGUAAUACGGAGGAUGCGAGCGUUAUCCGGAUUUAUUGGGUUUAAAGGGUGCGUAGGCGGACAGUUAAGUCAGCGGUAAAAUUGAGAGGCUCAACCUCUUCCCGCCGUUGAAACUGAUUGUCUUGAGUGGGCGAGAAGUAUGCGGAAUGCGUGGUGUAGCGGUGAAAUGCAUAGAUAUCACGCAGAACUCCGAUUGCGAAGGCAGCAUACCGGCGCCCAACUGACGCUGAAGCACGAAAGCGUGGGUAUCGAACAGGAUUAGAUACCCUGGUAGUCCACGCAGUAAACGAUGAAUACUAAUUGUUCGGGUCAAAUGAGAUCUGAGUGAUACAGCGAAAGCGUUAAGUAUUCCACCUGGGGAGUACGCCGGCAACGGUGAAACUCAAAGGAAUUGACGGAGGCCCGCACAAGCGGAGGAGCAUGUGGUUUAAUUCGAUGAUACGCGAGGAACCUUACCCGGGCUCAAACGACACAGGAAUGAUCUGAGAAAUCAGGCAGUCCUCCGGGACCUGUGUCGAGGUGCUGCAUGGUUGUCGUCAGCUCGUGCCGUGAGGUGUCGGCUUAAGUGCCAUAACGAGCGCAACCCCCAUCGACAGUUGCCAGCAGGUCAAGCUGGGCACUCUGUCGAGACUGCCGGCGCAAGCUGUGAGGAAGGCGGGGAUGACGUCAAAUCAGCACGGCCCUUACGUCCGGGGCGACACACGUGUUACAAUGGCAGGUACAGCGGGAAGCCACCUGGCGACAGGGAGCGGAACCCGAAAGCCUGUCUCAGUUCGGAUUGGAGUCUGCAACUCGACUCCAUGAAGCUGGAUUCGCUAGUAAUCGCGCAUCAGCCACGGCGCGGUGAAUACGUUCCCGGGCCU
This 1362-nucleotide ribosomal RNA is filed under the name uncultured bacterium. RNAcentral describes it as "16S ribosomal RNA". It matches the Rfam family "Bacterial small subunit ribosomal RNA", at positions 28 to 1381 of the family's 1533-position model. The record is from RNAcentral.